CAAUAGCGUAUAUUAAAGCUGUUGCGGUUAAAAAGCUCGUAGUUGGAUUUCUGUCAAGGACAACUGGUCCGCCCCUCGGGUGAGCACAUAGUUUGGUCUUGGCAUCUUGUUGGAAACUGUUGCUGCACUUGGUUGUGUGGCGCAGUGUCCAGCACUUUCACUUUGAGGAAAUUGGAGUGUUUCAAGCAGGCACAUGCCUUUGGACACAGUAGCAUGGAAUAAUUAGAUUGGGCUUUUGCUCCAACUUGUCGGUUUCUGGAGCUGAGGUGAGAAUUAAUGGGGAUUGUUGGGGGCAUCCGAAUUUAGCCGUCAGAGGUGAAAUUCUUGGAUCUGCUAAAGACGGACAACUGCGAAAGCAUUUGCCAAGGAUGUUUUCAUUGA
RNAcentral lists this ribosomal RNA (381 nucleotides) under uncultured eukaryote. Its description in RNAcentral is "partial 18S ribosomal RNA". It matches the Rfam family "Eukaryotic small subunit ribosomal RNA", at positions 592 to 976 of the family's 1831-position model. The record is from RNAcentral.